UGACUUAGAAAGUUGCCAAACUUAUAAUUAAAUUUUAGCGUGCUUUUUCCCUUCUUGGCCGCAAACACUGAGGGUGGCACUUCGUGGUUCUGUCACUUUUCAGGCUGCGUCGUGUUUUGGAUGCCCAAGCUUUAACCUUGCCUGCUGGCAUCUCUUUACCUUCUUCCAUGCACCAAAUGGAUGGGAUGUAACUUGUGCCUAGAAGAAAUAAAGUUGAGGCAUUUACGUGUGGACUAUCUUCUGGGUUCGUUUUCUGUGACUUUGUCGGAUAAGGCAAGUUUAUAGAAGUUGGAUUAAUAGGCCUAAUUUUAACAAGCCCUUCAUAAGGAUUCUGUGAUAUUUUUGCCACGAUGGGAUUUAGUUGUUGAAUUAUGUAGUGAUAUUUUCUUACUAUCUUUUCCCUGUUGCUUAAUGACCUCUAAGAGUUUGGGGUGCUUGAAGUUUGGGGUUUAGACAGACAAUACAGCAAAAUCAGCCUUCCUGUGGGGCCAGCCUCUUCUGCAGCUGUAUAGUUAUUGAAAGCCAGUCAUGGCUGUGUGUUUGUGGGUUCAAGAAGGCUGGCAUCGUUACUAGGAUUUUUUUUUUUUAAAUACUUGGGUCAAGAUUUGGCAAAUUCAUUAUUUUCAUCAUUCCCUCCUUCAGCAGCUAGCUUGAGAACAUGGCAAGUGUACAGGUUAAAUCCACCUUGGGGAGGCAGCGUGGUACAGUGGCUGAGGUUGAAGGCACUCAGCACUGGUGCAGAGUGCUUGAUUUUGGUUUAAGUCUCACUUUGAGGGCCUUCCUUCUGUGUUAUAUGGAGUUAUCCCAUGCCCUGCUUACCCAGGGAUGUCCUGAAGAGCAAUACCAACUCCUUGGGUGAUGCAUGUUUGUACCCAAAGCAUUUUACAGCAUCAGUUCCUAUGUAAAAGCAAAUGCAUAAUCCUGAUUUCUGAUCCCACGGCAGAAGAAAGCUCCAGCGUUUGUGAACGGCUAGUACAAACAGCAACUGUAGUAGAGUAAGGGAUGACACUGUUUAUUUUAGGGAGAGACAAUAAUAGAUUUUAAAGGGUCCUGUUCUUUUCAUGUUUUGUGGUACAGUUCCUUUGGGUUUGCUUAUACUGGAUGGCUUAUAUUUGGGUUUACUAAUGCCCUUGCAGAAAUACUGUUUUGUUCAAUGCAGGUGGGCAGCAUUUCUCUUGACUUGCUCUUUUUGACUUUGUGAGUGGAAGUACAGUGAAUGUGGCAGGCCGUAGUCUUAGGUGUACCCUGGAUAGAGGUCACCAAGGGUGGGAGUUAGGAGGAACACCACAGUCUCUGUCUUCUCGCUUGGCCAUCUGCUGUGAGACCACACAGCACCUGGAGAGAAUGAAGGCUCUGCUGAAGGAUCAGGAUCUGGUGUCCUUGGGUCAGUUCUGGCCCUGUACUCUCAAGGCCGGUAUCCAUAGUGAUUUCUUUUGUACCACCAUGUUGUGGAAGCUCAGAAAGCCACUGACCCUGCAGAGGGUCAGCAAUUUCCAUGUUUUUGUAGGCUGUGUAACUAACUACAUUUCCUCCGAUUGAUUUCAUCCCCCGGUGUGUGUGAGAGUUGCAUCUCAGGGUGGAACUUUUAAAAUAACUCCUUGGUCUUAACAUGGUGAGAGGUUUUGCUAGUCACUUGUUGCUUGAAUUACUUAUAGCUGCUCAACUCUAAAAACUACAUAUUAAGCUGUGAUAAAAUGGCUUUAUUCGUAUUUUAUAAUAAAUUUCCUAACUUGGAGUGCCAUUACAGCAGCACAUGUUAGAACUGGUUAGAGCUUUUCUUCAUGUGUGCUGGGCACUGAUAAGUCACUUGCCAAUGUAGCUCUUCCAUUGUUGGGCAGUGAUGAGCAUUACCUGUUUUAAUAAGUACGUUUGAUUUUCUUAUAUGUGAACAUUGCUACUUACUUAAUGGUGAUGAUUAAAGAGGCUCAAAUUGUUUAUUUUUAGUAGUUUCAGUUCACUUGCUCCCAGCUACAGGAGACAGUGGCGGAAGAAGAACCUUGAAAAUGUUUUUCAAACUUUCCUGACCACAGAAAAUAAUAUACAUUGCCUCUAACCUGCUCCCACCAUAGGAAGCUCAUCUUAGCCCAUAGAUAUGUCUGUAUAGAUUUCUGUGUUGAGGCAAGAAGCACUAAUAAUUGAGCUAUCUUCAGAGGUAAGAACAAGGUUGAGAAACCUACAAAGGGUGUUAAGGCCGUGGACAGUAAGGCUCUACUACUGGAGAAGAGUGAGGUGUGGAGAACUGGCUCUGUCAAGAUGUGUGCUCAGCUGCGCUUGAGGGAGCCCAAGAGGAGUUACACAGCCUUUCCACACUCUGGUCUCCUGCUUGUAGUGACCUUGGAGGCUACUGAAACAGGCUGUAGAGUCAACCUCCUGGGACUGGGGUCAAGGCCAAGAAAUGAUAGACAGUUAUCAGCAUGGUUCCAGUUCAUAUUGUCUUUCAAUAAGUUCUUUUUUCUUCUUUCCCUCUGUGCUGGUUAAUUUUAGCUGUCAAUUUGACACUGCUUUAGAAUUACCUGGGAAGAGAGUCAUAGGGACUAUCUAUCUCUUGGCCAGUAGGAGGUUGUCUUUACUGUUGACUGAGGGAAGAAGACCCAGGCAGUUGUUUGCUGUGCCAUUCCACUCCCUAGGCAGGGAGAGAGGAGGAAGCUGGGUGAGAACAAGUAAGCGAAGAUGAAUGCCUUGCUUCUGUUCUCUGUGCUCCUCUGUGAGUGUGAUGCCCUUGCUCUUAGCUGCCUUCCCCGCAGUAAUGGGCUGUAACCUGGGAUUUCAAGCCAAGGGAACCGUCCCCUCUCCCGUGUUGCUUUUUGUCAGGAUAUUUCACAACAGCAAGAGAAAUGAAACUAGGACUUCUGUACAGGCCAUGCCUCUCUUCCCAUGCCUGCUUCAAAUUUGUUGGGCUUCCGAGCCAAGAAUUUAGCCUUUUAACAUUUAGUUUAGAAAAUGUGUAAGAUGAGAGAUUUGCAUUAGGCCAGCAUUUCUUAACCUGAGCUGUAUACUGGAGCUAUCUGAACCCUUAAAAUGAACCACAUAUCAGAUGACUUAAUUGUGUAUCUAGGGGUGUGAAUAUGGCAAUGGGGGAAGUGUUGUAAUAGGUUUUUUUUCCCGCCCCCCGUAAUAGUGCUUAGUUUUUGGUGCUGGGAAUUGACUUUGGGGCUUCAUGCAUGUUAAGUAAGUCCUGUAUCUCUGAGCUUUUUGAAGCACAUGAGUAUCCCUGGGAAAUGGAAUUUUCAUGGCUGAAGUCUACUGAAACUGUAUACCCCAACUUUUAUUUAUUUAUUUUUCAUUUAUUUACUGUGUGUGCACACCCACACACAUGCAUGCAUGUGUGUAUAUGUGCAUGUGUAUGUGCAUGUAUAAAUGUAUGUGUGUGUAUAUGUAUGUGUGUGUAUAUGUGCAUAUAUGUAUGUGUGUGCAUGUGUGUGUGUGUGCAUAUGUGUGUGUGUGUGUGUGUGUGUGUGUGUUUGUCACAGUGCUUGUGUGUCAGGAUAGCUUGCAGGUAUCAGUUCUUUCUUACUGUGUGAAUGUCUGGACUAGAACUCAGGUUGUCUGGCUUCCACUGAGCCUUCUGCUCUGCUCUGCCCUCUUUGUUGAAAUAGGCACAAGAACUAUGCAGUUGCUACAGUUCCCAUAAUCUUUAUUGUUUCCUCAGAGUGGGGACUAUUGGUUGCAGUUGCCUGAAUGAGACUCAUCUUUCUUACACCUACCUAUGUCCUCCACCUUAUUAAAAGAAGGAGGAAAAGUUCUGGUAGUUGGAGAGGGCUCUGUUUCAGGGUGAAAGUGAGAAAAGUGUGUAUUGAACAUGUACACAAAACAUGCUAGCAGUCCAGGGCUGUAAUAUAAGAUGCCAUUUGUAAAAAUUGUUAAAAGUAACUAGUGGUUUGAGUAAAAAUGGCCCCGAUGGCCUCACAUAGUUAAAUGAAAAUGCAUGGGAGUGGCAUGAAUCUUUAGGGAGUGGCACUGCUUUAGAGGGAUUAGGAGGAGAGGCCUUGCUGAAGUAGGUGUGGUCUUGUUGGAGGAAAUAUAUCAUUGAGGAUGGGGUUUAGGGUUUCAAAAGCUCAAAUCAGGCCCAGUGUCUCUUCCUGCUACCUGUGGAUCCAGAUGUAGAACUCCCAGCUCCUUCUCCUGCACCUUGUCUACCUGUAGGCUAUCAUGCUUCUUGUCAUGCUGACAGUGGACUGAACUUUCUAGCUGUAAGCCAGCUCCAGUUAAAUGCUUUGCUUUAUAAGAGUUGCCAUGGUCAUGGUCAUGGUGUCUCUUCACAGCAAUAGCAGUGACUAAGAUAGAGGUUAUGUCACUUUCACACUUCCAGCCUGGUUCCCGUGGCAACUGCUUGAGCUUCAUGAUGUUUUGGGUGGGACUGUCCUGUGCUUUGCACAGGGUUUAACAGCAUCCCAGGUUCUACCUAGUGACACUUCUCCAGUGGUGGCAGCCAGAAUGCUUCCCAAAUACUGCCCAAUGUAACUGGGGAGGCAACCGCCAUACUGAAACUACUCUUUCAAAAGGCUUAUGAGAGCCUGUGACUAGCCAGGGACAGGAAGGAAGCCUAGAGAGGCAGAGAGCUGAGUCUGGCUGGGCACUGGGACCUGGGAUGGGCCAUCAGGGUUGUGGUGUGGUGUGGUGUGGUGUAAGCCACCUGGUAUUUCAAAGCUGACCUGCAUUGGAAGCCUGUUUCUAUACUCAGAAGCUGUUUCAGCUCUCCCCCACUGUAUUAUUAUUGCCUUUUCUUUAGGAUGGGGAUAGUAAGUGCUUUGAUAGAGUAAAAGAAUAAUUGAGAUAAUGCAUGCCAAGUAGUAUGUGUGGUUUCUUUAUAUUCUCCAUGUGCCAGGUGCAUCUGGGAAAAAUAUAGACAACAAAACUGUACUCCCAUGGAGCUUAGAUUCUGGAAGUAAGAAGAAUAUAUGACUACUAGGUGGUAAGAACGUUGGAGGAAAGGAAAGGCUUCUGCCUUACAGAAAGUGAAGCAAGGUGAACAGAUAAAAUCCCAAAGCCAGGGAAUGUCCACGUUAGCAAAGCCAAGAAAAGCCAUGGCAUGGUGGCCUGUGCUUGAACUUUGCUCUACGGUGAAGACGCAGUGGCACCUACCUAUCUCAAGGCUGAGCUGCUGUGAACUGUGAGGAUGACAGGGUGCAUCCCAAGGGCGAAAGGGAAGGGAGGAGCAUGUCGGUCCCCCUGUCAUGGAGAAAAGCUGGGUGUAUUCCCGCAGCAGUGGAAAGCCCCUAAAGAGUGUUGAGCAAGACAGGGUCAUGUGUACAUUUGAAUUUUGAGAAUUCUGUGCUAGAAAAAUGGAUUGAGGCAAUGCAAAGACAAGGGAGACCUUUAUCCCCACCCUGAGGUGGGGCUCUGCCAGGGCCCUCACAAGUUGCUGGCGUGAAUAGAGGGCAUGGAUGGCUGUGGAGAUGGUAAGAAGGGGAUAGCUUUUAGAUGAAACUGGUAGAACUUGGGGAUGAAUAGAUCUGGGUGUGUGGGAAAGGGAGGGAUUGUUUUCUAGGGGAGACAGUGGAGACUGGAACAGGAGAGGUUUGAGGGAGAAGAGAAAAGAUUGUUUCCCAGACACAAUGUUCUUCAGGUAUUUGUGGGAUCUCCAGUUGGAAAUGUCUAGAGGUUCUGACCGGAAUAGGCAGUGGUAAGUUUCCAGCUAUCAGGUGGUAUUUAGUCAGGGUUAGUUGACUUUGUACACCACAAACAUACUGGGGUUGGGGGCAGUGCUGUGAAUGAACUCAUUUAACAGUAGCUUGGGCCUGACCAUGGCCUUGUGACUGUCAUAGUUACUAAAAAGGGGAUCUGAAGCACAUAGGUGCUUAGUUCCUUAUGCAAAGUCCCUCCUGGAAUUUUUAAGGACAAGAUUCGAAGCCAGGCCUCAUGUCUUCUGAGUUCACUUUCUUAACUACUAUGGAGUGUCUCAUCCAGUGAGCAUGCAGCAAGUGGACACAUAGAAACCCCCCCCCCCAGCCUGUUCUGAGAAACCUGGGCAGUUUGAAGGACAAGCGUCUGCCUUGAUCAAGGCAGAAGAAGUAAGGAAAAGGAAUUAUAUAGAGAGAGGGAUAUCAGACUGGAGAGGAAGCAGGUUAGAGCUUGGGCUGUAGGAGGAGAGAAGCUGAAGUGUGAAAUCCAGGAAACAUUGGCCCCUCCUGUGCUGAUUUUCAGGCAAGAACUUGGACCCAGCCUAGCAAGCAGCUGUAAGGGUGUGCUUGUGUUAAUUACCGGAAUCCCAUCAAAGCCAGAGAAAAGAUGGAAAUUUGGGGUUUUGAAACCAAUUUCUCUCUUUUUAAAAUAGACUUCUGGUUAACCCUUAAGAAUAUUUAGAAUCACCUAAAUAUGCCUUAUUAAUAAGGUGCUCUAAAUAUGCGGUCUCUGAACAUCAGGUGCUCACAGGCACUGAAGCUGCAGCAGUGAACCUUGUUAGUAUAAGGCUGUAUUCCUUAUUUGUGAUUGCUUUUGUCAAUAAUAUGAAAUCUAAUUUCUCUCUCUCUCUCUCUCUCUCUCUCUCUCUCUCUCUCUCAACAGCCUCAUCCUACUAUGUUGUAUUAGUGUCUCUUAAUGAGUGUGAAGAUGCAUUAAUGUCUUUUCUCCCCAGUGAUCCCGCGCUUUAGGAGAAGGGACUGGAUUCUAGAUGUCUGUGUCAGCUGGUGCUGGACAACAGCCACAUGGUCACUUGUUAUCUGCAUCCCCACUCACUGGCUGUGAUUUUCUGUAAUGCUUUCAAUCUACUGCAAGGAAACAUUUCUUUGAUGAGUGGUAAGGACUGCAUUAAUGGGUGGGUAUAAGAAUAAAGUUGGGGAAUAUGCUGAUUUAUUAAUGGUUCUAGAUUCUCUUUCAGGAUUUGUGACUUCCCUAGCCCUGGAAAGUUUGCUAGGUUUCUAGUACCAGAUAUGACUUCCCUCUUGGUGACUGGGCCUUAAGUCCAAUUAGCUAUUUUUUACCACCAAGAUAUAUGUGUCACUAUAACACUUAGGGAUAUUGUGCCAUGGUAGUAAUGGUUUUAGUUCGGAGGUGUCAUAGUUGAAUAGACUAUUGGUUGGUUUCCUCCCUUGCAAGUUUGCAUGGCGCUUUUUAAUAUCAUGAAAGCCAGUCCUUUAAGAUCUGAAAGCCAGGACACUUUCAGAUCAGAAGCAGCUCGGGUCCUCCAGUUGAUGUGUCAGGCCCUAAUGUCAUAUACAUACAGAUGAUUUCAUAUGAACAAAGAAGGUUAUAUUUAUAUAUUUGUGUGUGUGUGUGUGUGUGUGUGUGUGUGUGUGUGUAUGUACACCUGUGCUUGUCUUUUCAUCUUGUCUUACGUUAAAGAGACCUGCAUUCUACACUUUCCUCCUGGAUUUAUCAGGUUUUGGAAUUUCCCUCUGCAUGCUCAGAAGCAUAUUAUUUUGGUUGUAUACUUUAAUUAUUUGUUCUUAAAGCAAUAAAAUGCAUUGUAUUUGCUAACGAAGAGGAAGUUAACAUGGAAAUUAUCAAUGCGGGUUACUGUUUGAUUUAGAAAUAUUUGUAUAAGGCUAAGACUUUAAAAGGAAGACAGAAUUCACUGCCUUUAAAAUGUGUCCUGUGUUUUGUACAUACAUUCAUAUUUGAAAUAUAUGAAGGCUGACUUUGUGUGGUUUUGUGAGUCCCAGCCAUGCAGUCUGUGUAGGAUGGCAGUGUAGACUUUCUGUGCUUUCUUAUUUUCAUGUAUUCACUUAGAACACAUUUUUUCUUUGAAUCUGUUGUGAUUUCUAAGACAUUUCUUUCGUGUUACUUCACUCUUUUAGCUAACGUGCUCAGUAUUUUCACGUCUGAACUUGGAGUCGGGGAAACCUGAGCUCUCUUCCGUGGUUUGUUGUAUCCUUGCUACAUGAGACCUCUUGGGGAAAUAAAAGCCACUAGUUCUUUAGGUGGACUCCUGGAUCUCUUAUGUUAACACUGAUGAGCAGACAUUAUAUACUAUCAUUACAAUUAGGAGUGUCUACAUUUUUCCCUUAGCUGGUGGCCAGUACUGUUUGGCUCAGUGCCAAAUGUUGUUCAUCCUCCCAUACCUCUGUGAGUUCUCCAUCUUACCAGAGAUGGUUUCUUAAAUCAGGCUGGGAAUUUCAAAUUCAACUUUGCUUCUCAUUUUGAGACUUAAUAUCUCUAUGAGCUUGUGGCUGCUUCUUCUACUUUUUUUAUGAACCAAUGAGUGUUUUAUUGAGGUUACUAACAGGGCUCUGUGUGAAUGGUUACUCACUAGGAGCAGAGAUGAUUCAAAAGCAGCCAAAUCACCCAGAGCCCACCCCAACAUGGCCAACAAUUUCUUUUCUUUUCUUUUCUUUUCUUUUCUUUUCUUUUCUUUUCUUUUCUUUUCUUUUCUUUCCUUUCCUUUCCUUUCCUUUCCUUUCCUUUCCUUUCCUUUCCUUUCCUUUUCUUUUUUUGAAUAUUUUCUUUAUUUACAUUUCAAAUGUUAUCCCCUUUCCUGGGUUUCCCCCCCUCCUGGAUACCCCCAUCCCACCACCCCCCGCUCCCUCCCCCCUACUUUUAUGAGGGUGUUUCUCCACCCACCCACCUAUUCCCACCUCCCUGCUCUUGAUUCUCUUAUACUGGGGUAUCUAUCGAGCCUUCAUAGGACCAAGGACCUCUCCUCCCAUUGAUGCCUGACAAGGCCAUUCUCUGCUACCUAUGCAGCUGGAGCCUUGUGUACUCCUUGGUUGAUGGCUUAGUCCCUGGGUGCUCUAGAGGGUCUGGUUGGUUGAUACUGUUGUUCUUCCUGUGGGGUUGCAAACCCCUUCAACUCCUUCAGUCCUUUCUCUAACUCCUCUAUUGGGGACCCUGCUCUCUUUUCCUAUUAAAAAUAGAAUGUUUUCCCCAAUCCCAAAGAGGGAACAAAUGAAAGGGAUCAAACCUAUCAAGGCUUUGAAGUUUGUGGAACAGGAAUUCCAGUGCUGGUGGUAAGAGCUGUGGGUCCUACCUACAUUAAGCACUGGAGGCUAAGCUAAGCCCCCUGGCCCCCAUUCUGUACUCUGUAAGUGAUACUCAGAGGCUAAGUCGAUGAUGUCUUAUACAACCUGAAAAGCAUUUCUACUUAGGAAGGGCUUUCUUAGAAGAAGGGAGUUUAUGAAUUUUAACUCUUUCCCUUUCUGAAUCCUCAUUUGUGAUCUUUUGAGUUUGUACUUCCUUUUCCUUAUCCCUUUCUGUUACCUCCCUCCAGGCCUCCAUUUCUUACCUAAAGUCCACUCUUCUUGUGGACUUGCUGUCAUAACUGUACCACUUUUCAAAGUGUGGACUAUGUGAACCAUUUGAGGAUUUAAUAGUAAUGUUUGGCUUCAAGCCCCUGUACCUGUUGAAUCAAGAUCUUCUAAGAGCAGGACCCAAGAAGGCAGUGGUGGUGGACUUCUUCUAUGACUGUGCUCCAAUGCCACCUAGUGCUGUGCAGGUCUGCUAGGGAAUGUCACUGAACUAUCUGUGUCUUCCUCAGGCUUCUUGAAAUGUUAAUUGUUGGCAAGGCUGUGACCUGAGAUUCUGCACUGUCACCUCAAUCCAGGGUAAUAAAUCCCUGUUGGCCUUCAGGAGACUUCCUAAGGGAUCCUUCCGUUCUCACAGUGAAUCUUAUACAGAGUACCUAACCUUUGCCCCGGUUGUUCUGUGAUAAUGAACCUUAGUCAAUUUGUCAGUCACUUUGCUUUUAUUUGUUAAGGAUAUCCCAUAAACUUAUGUGUUGAAACACUUCUUCCCCUAUUUGUGGCUAUGUUUGGGAAGGUUGUAUAUUUCUUAGAAGGUGGGUCUAACUAGAGGAAAAUGGGUCAUGAAGCUGGGCCUUGAGUAGUCCCUUGGGAGCAGCCAGGUUCCAGUGGGCUGUCUCCCUCUAGACUACAGGUGCUGUAAUUAGCUGCUUGAGGUGCACACUGUUACUCACGGUCAUGUCUUCUCUCAGAAGGGCAUCACCUCAGAACAUGAGGGAACAUAAGUGCUUCCUUCUGUGGGUUGCUUCUCCUCAUGGCGUUUAAUCACAGUGAUAAGAAAAGGAACUAAACUAGGAGAACCGCCUAGACUUUCAGAUGUAUGGGGUGGGACUUCGUGAGCUCCUCCCCCAGCCAUGCCAGGAUUGUGACUGGCUGGGUCUUGUGAAUAUCUUGUGCAUGCAGUAGGCAGUGGCAGUCAGAAUCUGAGAGUGCAACGGCCUUGCCAUGCCUGGCAAGUACUGCUGUACUUCUGCUGCUUCUGGCUCUUCAGUCUGUCUGACUUUGGUAAUGAUCCCUGAGGAAGGGGAUGUAUUAGGGACAUCUUAGAGCUGACACUCCUCGGUCCCUUAUUCUCUGCAUGUUGACCAGUUGUGGGUCUAGGUAUUAAUAACUCUCACUGUAAGAAGAAGCUCUCCUGCUGAGGGCUGAGAGACAGUAAUCUGUGGGUAUAAAGGUAACUUAAGAGGCAUUUUAUUACUAUGUUUGUUUAGAAGACUAAUAGUAGCAGGCUUUUCCCCUCGGGCCUGUGACUUGACUAACCGAGGGUUCUUGGCCCAGUUGAUGAUAGCAGGUGUGAGUGGGUCAGGCUUUAAAUGCAAGCUGAAAGUGAUGGAUUGCCUCCGUAACAUUUAUGCCACUAUUUCAUCUGUGGCAUGGCUUGACAGGGCAGUAAUUGCAGCUCGUUUGCAGGGUUCACAGCCGGGUAAAACUGUUGAUUAUGUAGCUAGCAUGUAGAGCACCUUCCAGCACUAUGCAAGCUAGCACUAGGACAGGGCUUCCUGGUCAGUACCAGGUUGAUGUGUCCGUGUCCUCUGUGCGACACAACAUGCCUUUACUGCUUAGGUCUUACCAUCAGCAGUGUAACCCUCCGGUGAGCAUCACCUUGAAAAGCGGUAACUCAGACCUGGCUCUGCCGGAACCUUCCCACCUCUCCCUGGACUUGUGAGCUGUGGCUGGAAUUCGAGUCAGUGUGGGGCAGGCGGAAUGUGGCUGAGGCAAAGAGCUCCAGUGGAAAGAAAUGGCCAGUUGCCUGCUUUCCCACACCUAUGGCUGGCUCAGUAAGCUGAGACAAACUCGGACAACAGGGGCCUGGAUGCUCUGCCUGCUAACGUGGCAGAAAAGUCCUGAGGCUUGGCCCUUGGCUGCCUCCAAUGAGCUGUCUACAACUUCCAGGAAA
Molecule: long non-coding RNA, 11073 nt
Organism: Mus musculus (house mouse)
Lineage: Eukaryota; Metazoa; Chordata; Mammalia; Rodentia; Muridae
Product: predicted gene, 57533
Exons: 2
Source: RefSeq, a predicted model, not a curated record